GGUUAAGCGACUAAGCGUACACGGUGGAUGCCCUGGCAGUCAGAGGCGAUGAAGGACGUGCUAAUCUGCGAUAAGCGUCGGUAAGGUGAUAUGAACCGUUAUAACCGGCGAUUUCCGAAUGGGGAAACCCAGUGUGUUUCGACACACUAUCAUUAACUGAAUCCAUAGGUUAAUGAGGCGAACCGGGGGAACUGAAACAUCUAAGUACCCCGAGGAAAAGAAAUCAACCGAGAUUCCCCCAGUAGCGGCGAGCGAACGGGGAGCAGCCCAGAGCCUGAAUCAGUGUGUGUGUUAGUGGAAGCGUCUGGAAAGGCGCGCGAUACAGGGUGACAGCCCCGUACACAAAAAUGCACAUACUGUGAGCUCGAUGAGUAGGGCGGGACACGUGGUAUCCUGUCUGAAUAUGGGGGGACCAUCCUCCAAGGCUAAAUACUCCUGACUGACCGAUAGUGAACCAGUACCGUGAGGGAAAGGCGAAAAGAACCCCGGCGAGGGGAGUGAAAAAGAACCUGAAACCGUGUACGUACAAGCAGUGGGAGCACGCUUCGGCGUGUGACUGCGUACCUUUUGUAUAAUGGGUCAGCGACUUAUAUUCUGUAGCAAGGUUAACCGAAUAGGGGAGCCGAAGGGAAACCGAGUCUUAACUGGGCGUUAAGUUGCAGGGUAUAGACCCGAAACCCGGUGAUCUAGCCAUGGGCAGGUUGAAGGUUGGGUAACACUAACUGGAGGACCGAACCGACUAAUGUUGAAAAAUUAGCGGAUGACUUGUGGCUGGGGGUGAAAGGCCAAUCAAACCGGGAGAUAGCUGGUUCUCCCCGAAAGCUAUUUAGGUAGCGCCUCGUGAAUUCAUCUCCGGGGGUAGAGCACUGUUUCGGCAAGGGGGUCAUCCCGACUUACCAACCCGAUGCAAACUGCGAAUACCGGAGAAUGUUAUCACGGGAGACACACGGCGGGUGCUAACGUCCGUCGUGAAGAGGGAAACAACCCAGACCGCCAGCUAAGGUCCCAAAGUCAUGGUUAAGUGGGAAACGAUGUGGGAAGGCCCAGACAGCCAGGAUGUUGGCUUAGAAGCAGCCAUCAUUUAAAGAAAGCGUAAUAGCUCACUGGUCGAGUCGGCCUGCGCGGAAGAUGUAACGGGGCUAAACCAUGCACCGAAGCUGCGGCAGCGACACUAUGUGUUGUUGGGUAGGGGAGCGUUCUGUAAGCCUGUGAAGGUGUGCUGUGAGGCAUGCUGGAGGUAUCAGAAGUGCGAAUGCUGACAUAAGUAACGAUAAAGCGGGUGAAAAGCCCGCUCGCCGGAAGACCAAGGGUUCCUGUCCAACGUUAAUCGGGGCAGGGUGAGUCGACCCCUAAGGCGAGGCCGAAAGGCGUAGUCGAUGGGAAACAGGUUAAUAUUCCUGUACUUGGUGUUACUGCGAAGGGGGGACGGAGAAGGCUAUGUUGGCCGGGCGACGGUUGUCCCGGUUUAAGCGUGUAGGCUGGUUUUCCAGGCAAAUCCGGAAAAUCAAGGCUGAGGCGUGAUGACGAGGCACUACGGUGCUGAAGCAACAAAUGCCCUGCUUCCAGGAAAAGCCUCUAAGCAUCAGGUAACAU
This 1593-nucleotide ribosomal RNA is filed under the name Escherichia coli. RNAcentral describes it as "partial 23S ribosomal RNA". It matches the Rfam family "Bacterial large subunit ribosomal RNA", at positions 1 to 1637 of the family's 2925-position model. The record is from RNAcentral. Lineage: Bacteria; Pseudomonadati; Pseudomonadota; Gammaproteobacteria; Enterobacterales; Enterobacteriaceae.